AAAGACUUAGGAUAACAUUAGACCAAGGGCCUUCAAAGCCCUCAGUGGGAGGGAGAAUCUCCCAGUCUUUG
RNAcentral lists this transfer RNA (71 nucleotides) under Channa striata (snakehead murrel). RNAcentral describes it as "tRNA-Trp". It matches the Rfam family "tRNA". From Rfam's summary of the family: Transfer RNA (tRNA) molecules are approximately 80 nucleotides in length. Their secondary structure includes four short double-helical elements and three loops (D, anti-codon, and T loops). The record is from RNAcentral. Lineage: Eukaryota; Metazoa; Chordata; Actinopteri; Anabantiformes; Channidae.